UAAUACAGAGGGGGCAAGCGUUGUUCGGAAUUACUGGGCGUAAAGGGCGCGUAGGCGGCCUUCUAAGUCGAACGUGAAAUCCCCGGGCUCAACCCGGGAACUGCGUCCGAGACUGGAAGGCUCGAAUCCGGGAGAGGGAUGUGGAAUUCCAGGUGUAGCGGUGAAAUGCGUAGAUAUCUGGAGGAACAUCGGUGGCGAAGGCGGCAUCCUGGACCGGUAUUGACGCUGAGGCGCGAAAGCCAGGGGAGCAAACGGGAUUAGAUACCCCGGUAGUCCUGGCCCUAAACGAUGAAUGCUUGGUGUGGCGGGUAUCGAUCCCUGCCGUGCCGAAGCUAACGCAUUAAGCAUUCCGCCUGGGGAGUACGGUCGCAAGGCUG
RNAcentral lists this ribosomal RNA (377 nucleotides) under uncultured bacterium. RNAcentral's name for it is "bacterial SSU rRNA". It matches the Rfam family "Bacterial small subunit ribosomal RNA", at positions 521 to 896 of the family's 1533-position model. The record is from RNAcentral.